CUUACAGCAGAUGCCCUGGUCCUCUGGCUCUGACAAUACUUCCACUCUCUCCUCUAAGGCGUUUCUUGAGCUCUAGGUCUAGGAGUUGUGUUGUAGGUAUAUCAGUUGGGCUAAGGCACUCUGCAGCCAGUAUUGUAUGCCAUUUUCAGACCUAUGUUUUCAGUUUUACCUUCCCCUGCUGAUGUGCCUUACUGAUUAAAAAAAAAAAGAAGAAGAAAGAAGUAUCUACCAUUUAGGAUGGAUAAAAUAAUUAUUAUUAAGUAUCACACUGGGGGAAGCUGUUUCUGCAGUGACGAACUCUUCUAAUUGGCCAGCGACUCAUCCUAGAAAACCCCUUUGUAGAAUGAAAACAAGAAAUUCCAUGUGAUUCAAAAUGAAAAGAAACUUUUCAACUCAAUUUAAACUCUCAAAGAUGGGCAAAAUAUUCCAAGAAAACAUUAGAAGACAAUAAAUAAAAUGAAAAUAAAUAUGUAUUCUUUGUGAUUUGGCUGUGGAGUCAAGCCAGCUGAGCAAAGGUUUGUGCUGCAGAUUUCUGAAAGCCUUGGACUUAGGAGUAUCAUGAUGGGAUUAAAGGAGAGAUUGAUAACUUUAAAAAUAUCAGAAGAAACUAUCUUCCAAAACUAGUAACUGUACAAUCUAAGUUUGAUGAGCAGUGUUAAGAAAGAAUUCUCUAGAUCUUGGAAGGUAAUUACAACCCAUAGGCAUAUAUGCGUGCACACGACCAUGUAUGCAUGUACUCACAUGCCCUUACACACACACACACACACACACACACACACAUACAUAUGAAUGAAAUUAUAAAUGCAAAGAGAAAUCUGUGUGGUGUAUAGGCAUAUGCCUGAAAUGCCUGCUCUGGAGAGACAGACAAGAACUUGAGGACAACCUGGGCUACACAGCAAGAUGGUUUAACAAAACAGACACA
Long non-coding RNA from Mastomys coucha (southern multimammate mouse), 922 nucleotides. RefSeq lists it as uncharacterized. The record is from RefSeq and is a predicted model, not a curated record. NCBI's taxonomy places the organism in Eukaryota, Metazoa, Chordata, Mammalia, Rodentia, Muridae. The transcript is spliced from 5 exons.